UUCAGAGGCAAGUGUGGGUGCGUACAGCAGGCGAAGAGGUUGGAUAGCUCAACAGUGGACUGCACCCCACACCCCCAUUGUGAUCAUGCCGAUGCAGCCACUCAGAUCUCUGACCUCCUGUAUACGAGAGGCCACUGGAUGAUCUUGUCGCUAUGCCCCUUUGCCUCACCUGAACAAAAGUAGAUUCUGACAUUGGAAUAGCCCGUGAGAUGCAGAAGCCAUGGAGUUGAGCUGCAGCAAAGUCCCUCUUUACGUAAGUCACUAAGCAUUGGGCUUCAGGUCCAUGGAUCCUUUUCCUAACUCGAACCAUGUGCCUGAAGUGAGGAGAAAUAUUUUGUUUGCUAUUGAGUUGAGGCUUUACCUGAACAUUACUGUCUAGUACAAGUAUUUUCAUAGAGCCUUUUACAACUGGUUGACUCUUGUUUCCAAAGUCUGAGUUUUAAUUAGACUGCCUUUAGAAUAAUAUUUUUAUAUAAUUUCUGGACUCAUAAGCACUGAGUUCCCAUAUAGGGAUACGUUUUGAACAUAUUAUUUUAUGAUAACAUCCAGUGAUAGUCAAAAGUGUCUGUGUGUUUUUUUGGAGGGGAGGGCCAUGGCUUGGUGAUGAUUUUAUCUAAAAGCAUGAACUAGGAACUCCAAAGGCAGAGUGCUGGGACACAUGCAGAGGGAAUAGAGGUUCAGGGACACACACUCAAUGAGAUUUCUGGUCAGAUGUGCCCUCUAGGUCAAAGGAGGAUUCUGAUUCUGAGACCAGUUCCUUGGUGCAAAAGGGAAGGAAACUGGUUCCUCACACACAAAAUGGCAGAUGGCCUCAUCUUUGCUCCUCCACAGGGAAGGAGCCUUGUUGGUGGGUGUUGGGCCUGGACAGGUAGGUAUGGAUGUGUGGAGUAGCUGUGAUUUAGAAUCAAAUAUUAAGAAACUGGAGAGGGCCAGGGAUUUAGCUCAGUGGUUCUGGCGCCUGCCUCACACGUGCAAGGUCCCGAGUUCGAUCCCCGGUACCAAAAAAAAAAAAAAGAAACUGGAGCAAGGUAAUCAGAAGAUUCAACUAAUAAAAGUAUAUUCAUCCAUCUCCCACACUUCACUACCCAGCUAGCAUACACCUCUAUCCCUUCCUCCACACACUAUAUAGACUACUGGGUUCUCAGGAGGAAGAUAAGAUUACAAAAUAAAUGGAUUUCAGAAUAAUAAAAAAGCUGCCUUGUGUGUUACCCAGUGGUCUCUGGUUCUCUUUGUAGAUUAUGAUUUGCAGAACAUAAAAUGUGCUUGCAGGGCCAGGCAUAAUUAAAGAUAAAAAGACUGGCUGGAGGCUAGAUUAUAAAGUACUCCGAGUCCUGCUGUUACUUUCCACAAGUGUGCCUUCCUGUUUCUCUGCCUUAAAACAGACAGACCUCAAAACUAAC
Molecule: long non-coding RNA, 1400 nt
Filed under: Heterocephalus glaber (naked mole-rat)
Lineage: Eukaryota; Metazoa; Chordata; Mammalia; Rodentia; Bathyergidae
Description: lncRNA (ENSHGLG00100034880.1)
Source: RNAcentral